Molecule: ribosomal RNA, 301 nt
Filed under: uncultured bacterium
Lineage: Bacteria
Description: partial 16S ribosomal RNA
Rfam family: Bacterial small subunit ribosomal RNA
Source: RNAcentral
CAGCCGCCGCGGUAAUACGUAGGUGGCAAGCGUUGUCCGGAUUUAUUGGGCGUAAAGCGAGCGCAGGCGGUCAAUUAAGUCUGAUGUGAAAGCCCCCGGCUCAACCGGGGAGGGUCAUUGGAAACUGGUUGACUUGAGUGCAGAAGAGGAGAGUGGAAUUCCAUGUGUAGCGGUGAAAUGCGUAGAUAUAUGGAGGAACACCAGUGGCGAAGGCGACUCUCUGGUCUGUAACUGACGCUGAGGCUCGAAAGCGUGGGUAGCAAACAGGAUUAGAUACCCCUGUAGUCCCUGUCUCUUAUAC